GGGAGAGUUUGGCUGGCUGGUGCCGCCCCGGGACUUCAAAUCCCGUGGGGGGUCGCCACGAGCGGUCCCCGGAGGGUUCGAUUCCCUUACUCUCCCGCCA
Molecule: transfer RNA, 100 nt
Filed under: Hydrogenobacter thermophilus
Lineage: Bacteria; Pseudomonadati; Aquificota; Aquificia; Aquificales; Aquificaceae
Description: tRNA-Sec
Rfam family: Selenocysteine transfer RNA
Source: RNAcentral